This 476-nucleotide ribosomal RNA is filed under the name uncultured methanogenic archaeon. Its description in RNAcentral is "bacterial SSU rRNA". It matches the Rfam family "Archaeal small subunit ribosomal RNA", at positions 515 to 990 of the family's 1478-position model. Lineage: Archaea; Methanobacteriati; Methanobacteriota. The record is from RNAcentral.
GGGUCUGUAGCCGGCCAAGUAAGUCCCUUGGGAAAUCUGGCAGCUUAACUGUCAGGCUGCUAGGGGAUACUGCUAGGCUUGGGACCGGGAGAGGUGAGAGGUACCUUGGGGGUAGGGGUGAAAUCUUGUGAUCCUCGGGGGACCACCAGUGGCGAAGGCGUCUCACCAGAACGGGUCCGACGGUAAGGGACGAAAGCUAGGGGCACGAACCGGAUUAGAUACCCGGGUAGUCCUAGCCGUAAACGAUGCUCGCUAGGUGUCAGUCACGGUGCGACCGUGAUUGGUGCCGUAGGGAAGCCGUGAAGCGAGCCACCUGGGAAGUAUGGCCGCAAGGCUGAAACUUAAAGGAAUUGGCGGGGGAGCACUACAACGGGUGGAGCCUGCGGUUUAAUUGGAUUCAACGCCGGAAAUCUCACCGGGGGCGACAGCGAUAUGAAGGUCAGGCUGAAGACCUUACCCGAUUAGCUGAGAGGUGG